UACAGAGGUCUCAAGCGUUGUUCGGAUUCAUUGGGCGUAAAGGGUGCGUAGGCGGUGUGUCACGUCGGCCGUGAAAACCUGCAGCUUAACUGUGGGCGUGCGGUCGAUACGGGCAUCACUGGAGUUCGGCAGGGGAGACUGGAAUUCCUGGUGUAGCGGUGAAAUGCGCAGAUAUCAGGAGGAACACCGGUGGCGAAGGCGGGUCUCUGGGCCGAUACUGACGCUGGAGGAGCGAAAAGCGUGGGGAGCAAACAGG
RNAcentral lists this ribosomal RNA (256 nucleotides) under uncultured bacterium. RNAcentral describes it as "partial 16S ribosomal RNA". It matches the Rfam family "Bacterial small subunit ribosomal RNA", at positions 524 to 776 of the family's 1533-position model. The record is from RNAcentral.